AAAUAACCAAUCAAGGAAGAGGUCCUCUUUCUUUUUCUCCGCUUCCGGCCCCCUCGAGCAGAUGACGACCAAGCGCCGCAACCACGGACGUUCGAAGCCCGCGCACAGUCGCGGUCGCGUCAAGCCGAUCCACUGCUUCAACUGCGGUCGUCUGACCCCGAAGGACAAGGCCGUCGGCCGCUUUGUGGUGCGCCGCAUGCUGGAUGCCGCUUCCGCCCGCGAUGUGGCGGAGGCGUCGCCGGUGUACGGUGCAAACUUCCCGAUGCCGAAGCUGUACAUGAAGCAGCGCUUCUGCAUAGCGUGCGCUAUCCACAGCCGCACCGUGCGCGCUCGCCCGGUCGGAAACCGCAAGAUACGCUACACAAGGAAGGUGCCGUUCCGCCCUGCCGGCAAGAAAUGAAAGAACUAGUUAAGAGUGACGAAGCGCGUGAGCUCUUCCCACUGAACGGAUGAAAGACGGCGUACGAGUGGUUGUUGAGAGGACGCGAAGCCGAGGAGCACUGCUGUGCUGAAGGGGCGGCAAGGACAUCUGGCCGUUCUCUUCCUUCCCACCCCCUCCCUCUCCCUCCAAUGUCUCUCUGUUCACGUUGACACUCCCUUCCCCUCCCUGUCGCCUGUGUUAUUUCUUGCACAAACGGAUCGUGUGCGUGCAUGCGAGUGUUCGUCUUCGUAUGUUUUUUUUUUUUCGUUUCAUUUUCCACCAGCCUCAUUUAUUCAGCGAAAAUCCGAAAUACGCAGACAGCGAAAACGAAGAAGAAUGCGUGCGCUCGCGUGCGGUCGCUCCUCGUCAGCGAUGGCGAUGUGUCGCUCGUGCGAGAGUUUGGUGACGAGGAAUGUCUCCGUGGACUCAGGGAAGGCACGGCUGCUGGGGUGUGCAUGCACGCGGAUCGUGUCGGGGACGAGGCUGGUCCUUUCCGACAGGCUAUACCUUUCGCCAUCGGCGCAAGUUUCUUGGCCGAAGACACACGUGCGUUGCCGUAUAUUGAGGAAUUGAUGUUCUUGUGACUUCCUCCGUGCGUGCUGCGUCAAGCUUGUUUCUCUCACUCUCUCACGCACACACCUCCGUAACCACAAAAUUCUCAG
Molecule: unclassified non-coding RNA, 1083 nt
Filed under: Leishmania donovani
Lineage: Eukaryota; Euglenozoa; Kinetoplastea; Trypanosomatida; Trypanosomatidae
Description: gene:LdHU3.28.0690(CDS-product:ribosomal_protein_ S26_putative)
Source: RNAcentral